Ribosomal RNA from Erinaceus europaeus (western European hedgehog), 111 nucleotides. The record is from Ensembl. Lineage: Eukaryota; Metazoa; Chordata; Mammalia; Eulipotyphla; Erinaceidae.
GUCUAUAGCCAUACCACCCUGAAAACACCGGCUCUCCUCUGAUCUCGCGAGCAAAGCAGGGUCUAGCCUGGUUAGUAAUUGGAUGGGAGUAGAUCCAGGUCACAGUAUAAU